This 466-nucleotide ribosomal RNA is filed under the name uncultured bacterium. RNAcentral describes it as "partial 16S ribosomal RNA". It matches the Rfam family "Bacterial small subunit ribosomal RNA", at positions 28 to 505 of the family's 1533-position model. The record is from RNAcentral.
GACGAGCGCUGGCGGCGUGCUUAACACAUGCAAGUCGAACGGAAAGGCCCUGCUUUUGUGGGGUGCUCGAGUGGCGAACGGGUGAGUAACACGUGAGUAACCUGCCCUUGACUUUGGGAUAACUUCAGGAAACUGGGGCUAAUACCGGAUAGGAGCUCCUGCUGCAUGGUGGGGGUUGGAAAGUGUCGGCGGUUGGGGAUGGACUCGCGGCUUAUCAGCUUGUUGGUGGGGUAGUUGCUUACCAAGGCUUUGACGGGUAGCCGGCCUGAGAGGGUGACCGGCCACAUUGGGACUGAGAUACAGCAGAGACUACUACGGGAGGAAGCAGGGGGGAAUAUUGCAGCAUGGGCGGAAGACUGAUGCAGCAACGCCGAGUGCGGGAUGACGGUAUUCGGGUUGUAAACAGCUUUCGCCUGUGACGAAGCGUGAGUGACGGUAAUGGGUAAAGAAGCACCGGCUAACUACG